RNAcentral lists this ribosomal RNA (207 nucleotides) under uncultured bacterium. Its description in RNAcentral is "partial 16S ribosomal RNA". It matches the Rfam family "Bacterial small subunit ribosomal RNA", at positions 568 to 774 of the family's 1533-position model. The record is from RNAcentral.
CGCGUAGGCGGCCUUCUAAGUCGAACGUGAAAUCCCCGGGCUCAACCCGGGAACUGCGUCCGAGACUGGAAGGCUCGAAUCCGGGAGAGGGAUGUGGAAUUCCAGGUGUAGCGGUGAAAUGCGUAGAUAUCUGGAGGAACAUCGGUGGCGAAGGCGGCAUCCUGGACCGGUAUUGACGCUGAGGCGCGAAAGCCAGGGGAGCAAACG